UGAAUGCUGGCGGCGUGCCUCAUACAUGCAAGUCGAGCGCACAGACGAGGAGCUUGCUCCUCUGACGUUAGCGGCGGACGGGUGAGUAACACGUGGAUAACCUACCUAUAAGACUGGGAUAACUUCGGGAAACCGGAGCUAAUACCGGAUAAUAUAUUGAACCGCAUGGUUCAAUAGUGAAAGACGGUUUUGCUGUCACUUAUAGAUGGAUCCGCGCCGCAUUAGCUAGUUGGUAAGGUAACGGCUUACCAAGGCAACGAUGCGUAGCCGACCUGAGAGGGUGAUCGGCCACACUGGAACUGAGACACGGUCCAGACUCCUACGGGAGGCAGCAGUAGGGAAUCUUCCGCAAUGGGCGAAAGCCUGACGGAGCAACGCCGCGUGAGUGAUGAAGGUCUUCGGAUCGUAAAGCUCUGUUAUUAGGGAAGAACAAAUGUGUAAGUAACUAUGCACGUCUUGACGGUACCUAAUCAGAAAGCCACGGCUAACUACGUG
This 495-nucleotide ribosomal RNA is filed under the name uncultured bacterium. Its description in RNAcentral is "partial 16S ribosomal RNA". It matches the Rfam family "Bacterial small subunit ribosomal RNA", at positions 30 to 507 of the family's 1533-position model. The record is from RNAcentral.